UGUUAGUGGAAGCGUCUGGAAAGUCGCGCAGCAAAGGGUGAUAGCCCCGUACACUAAAAUGCACAGGUCGUGAGUUCGAUGAGUAGGGCGGGACACGUGACAUCCUGUCUGAAUAUGGGGGGACCAUCCUCCAAGGCUAAAUACUCCUGACUGACCGAUAGUGAACCAGUACCGUGAGGGAAAGGCGAAAAGAACCCCGGCGAGGGGAGUGAAAUAGAACCUGAAACCGUGUACGUACAAGCAGUGGGAGCACCUUCGUGGUGUGACUGCGUACCUUUUGUAUAAUGGGUCAGCGACUUAUAUUUUGUAGCAAGGUUAACCGUAUAGGGGAGCCGUAGGGAAACCGAGUCUUAACUGGGCGAUUAGUUGCAAGGUAUAGACCCGAAACCCGGUGAUCUAGCCAUGGGCAGGUUGAAGGUUGGGUAACACUAACUGGAGGACCGAACCGACUAAUGUUGAAAAAUUAGCGGAUGACUUGUGGCUGGGGGUGAAAGGCCAAUCAAACCGGGAGAUAGCUGGUUCUCCCCGAAAGCUAUUUAGGUAGCGCCUCGUGAACUCAUCUUCGGGGGUAGAGCACUGUUUCGGCUAGGGGGCCAUCCCGGCUUACCAAACCGAUGCAAACUCCGAAUACCGAAGAAUGUUAUCACGGGAGACACACGGCGGGUGCUAACGUCCGUCGUGAAGAGGGAAACAACCCAGACCGCCAGCUAAGGUCCCAAAGUCAUGGUUAAGUGGGAAACGAUGUGGGAAGGCAUAGACAGCCAGGAUGUUGGCUUAGAAGCAGCCAUCAUUUAAAGAAAGCGUAAUAGCUCACUGGUCGAGUCGGCCUGCGCGGAAGAUGUAACGGGGCUAAACCAUGCACCGAAGCUGCGGCAGCGACGCUUAGGCGUUGUUGGGUAGGGGAGCGUUCUGUAAGCCGUUGAAGGUGGCCUGUGAGGGUUGCUGGAGGUAUCAGAAGUGCGAAUGCUGACAUAAGUAACGAUAAAGCGGGUGAAAAGCCCGCUCGCCGGAAGACCAAGGGUUCCUGUCCAACGUUAAUCGGGGCAGGGUGAGUCGACCCCUAAGGCGAGGCUGAAAAGCGUAGUCGAUGGGAAACAGGUUAAUAUUCCUGUACUUGGUGUUACUGCGAAGGGGGGACGGAGAAGGCUAGGCUGGCCGGGCGACGGUUGUCCCGGUUUAAGCGUGUAGGGGGUGUGACCUGGUAAAUCCGGUUGCAUAUCAACCCUGAGGCGUGAUGACGAUGCACUACGGUGCAGAAGUAGUUGAUGCCCUGCUUCCAGGAAAAUCCUCUAAGCUCCAGGUAACAUUAAAUCGUACCCCAAACCGACACAGGUGGUCAGGUAGAGAAUACCAAGGCGCUUGAGAGAACUCGGGUGAAGGAACUAGGCAAAAUGGUGCCGUAACUUCGGGAGAAGGCACGCUGGCAUGUAGGUGAAGUCCCUNGCGGAUGGAGCUGAAGCCAGUCGAAGAUACCAGCUGGCUGCAACUGUUUAAUAAAAACACAGCACUGUGCAAACACGAAAGUGGACGUAUACGGUGUGACGCCUGCCCGGUGCUGGAAGGUUAAUUGAUGGGGUCAGCCGCAAGGCGAAGCUCUUGAUCGAAGCCCCAGUAAACGGCGGCCGUAACUAUAACGGUCCUAAGGUAGCGAAAUUCCUUGUCGGGUAAGUUCCGACCUGCACGAAUGGCGUAAUGAUGGCCAGGCUGUCUCCACCCGAGACUCAGUGAAAUUGAACUCGCUGUGAAGAUGCAGUGUACCCGCGGCAAGACGGAAAGACCCCGUGAACCUUUACUAUAGCUUGACACUGAACAUUGAGCCUUGAUGUGUAGGAUAGGUGGGAGGCUUUGAAGCGUGGACGCCAGUCUGCGUGGAGCCAUCCUUGAAAUACCACCCUUUAAUGUUUGAUGUUCUAACUCGGCCCC
This 1923-nucleotide ribosomal RNA is filed under the name Frankia sp. BMG5.23. Its description in RNAcentral is "16S ribosomal RNA". It matches the Rfam family "Bacterial large subunit ribosomal RNA", at positions 327 to 2234 of the family's 2925-position model. The record is from RNAcentral. Lineage: Bacteria; Bacillati; Actinomycetota; Actinomycetes; Frankiales; Frankiaceae.